RNAcentral lists this ribosomal RNA (253 nucleotides) under uncultured bacterium. RNAcentral's name for it is "partial 16S ribosomal RNA". It matches the Rfam family "Bacterial small subunit ribosomal RNA", at positions 524 to 776 of the family's 1533-position model. The record is from RNAcentral.
UACAGAGGUUGCAAGCGUUGUUCGGAAUUACUGGGCGUAAAGGGCGCGUAGGCGGCCAUCUAAGUCAGACGUGAAAUCCCCCGGCUUAACCUGGGAACUGCGUCUGAUACUGGAAGGCUUGAGUAUGGGAGAGGGAUGUAGAAUUCCAGGUGUAGCGGUGAAAUGCGUAGAUAUCUGGAGGAACACCGGUGGCGAAGGCGGCAUCCUGGGCCGGUAUUGACGCUGAUGCGCGAAAGCCAGGGGAGCAAACGGG